MicroRNA precursor from Oryza sativa Japonica Group (Japanese rice), 274 nucleotides. It matches the Rfam family "MIR821 microRNA precursor family". Lineage: Eukaryota; Viridiplantae; Streptophyta; Magnoliopsida; Poales; Poaceae. The record is from Rfam.
GAUAUCAACUGAAAAAGUCAUCAACAACAAAAUUGAAUAACUCAUCAAGAUCUAAAACUUUUAUUUUGGUCAUUUCUUCAUACGACAAAGUGAUAGUAACAUUGUUCACAAAAUUGACAUAUCUCUUAUCUGGUUUUAUAAACUAUAACACAUAUAUGUAAAAUUUGUGAAUAAUAUUACUAAUAUUUCGUCAGAUGAAGAAAUAAAAAAAUAAAAGUUUUAGAUCUUGAUGAGUUAUUCAACUUUGUUGUUGAUGACUUUUUCAAUUGAAAUC